RNAcentral lists this ribosomal RNA (434 nucleotides) under uncultured bacterium. RNAcentral describes it as "partial 16S ribosomal RNA". It matches the Rfam family "Bacterial small subunit ribosomal RNA", at positions 29 to 507 of the family's 1533-position model. The record is from RNAcentral.
AGCGAACGCUGGCGGCAGGCCUAACACAUGCCAGUCGAACGAACCUUUCGGGGUUAUUGGCGGACGGGUGAGUAACCCGUGGGAACGUGCCUUUAGGUUCGGAAUAACUCAGGGAAACUUGUGCUAAUACCGAAUGUGCCCUUCGGGGGAAAGAUUUAUCGCCUUUAGAGCGGCCCGCGUCUGAUUCGCUAUUUGGUUGAGGUAAUGGCUCACCAAGGCGACGAUCAGUAGCUGGUCUGAGAGGAUGAUCAGCCACAUUGGGACUGAGACACGGCCCAAAAUCCUACGGGAGGCAGCAGUGGGGAAUCUUGCGCAAUGGGCGAAAGCCUGACGCAGCCAUGCCGCGUGAAUGAUGAAGGUCUUAGGAUUGUAAAAUUCUUUCACCGGGGACGAUAAUGACGGUACCCGGAGAAGAAGCCCCGGCUAACUUCGUG